CACCAUCACACAACACCCAUGAUAAUGUGCAACUGAGCCUGCGCAGACGGAGAGAAAAAAACACCCCGUUUACUACUAAGAUCUUUACAGUAUCCCGUCUAAGAUCAGCAUAUCCCAGGCAUUAUAUCCUGGCGUCACAUAACCGGGAUACAAGCUUUUUCGGGUUAUUGUAAACGGGAUAUGAUGUUUAUAUGGGUCAGCUCAAAAACAGAAUACUUGAGCAUCCUGAAUAAUAACAGGAUAUUGGUGUGCAUGCAAACGUUGUCACAGAUGCAGAGAAGCAGUGCCUUUGCUUCAGAAUUUAGUUACACGAAUAAAGCUCCUGACUCUGAACAAGGUGAAAGGUAUGAUACAACAGCCUGUCAUACACCUGUGAAUCUUUCAAGGAGUCAUCUUUGAGGAUCGAAUGACGUUGAUCUAAGGAUCAUGCUUCCUUUCUCUUCUAUUUGCAGCAAUUGCAUUUCUGCCUCCCUCCGCUGAAUCCCGGGAGAUGUAUUCAGAGGAGGGCUGUUCAUCAGAGGCAAUGCUCCGUUAGAUGGCCCCGCAGGAAGCCUGAGAAGAGAAAGCUGGAAGCCAUUUUGUUUGGGCGGAAAGAGCAGGUUUUUCUCAACACCCUCAUUAUCAUUAAUCAGAGGAAUCCGGGACGGGGGAGAGAGAGGUUCACAGAAAUCUCUUCUGAUUAAUUGUGAGCAGCGGCUUCCAAAAAACUGCAAUGGAAAUCUCUCAUUAGCAUUCUGCUCCAAAACACAAAAGGAAUCAUUUGAGGAGAGAAAGAAAUAAAGAAAAUAAGAAAUGAAGAUGCAAAAAAAAUAAUGCAGGAAAUAUCUUCUCUCUCUCCAGCUCACCACUAUACCUACCUGGUGGGUAAUUAGGUUUAAAGCAAAGCUUCGAUUGGACAGCAGAAUGUACUGGAACAUCUUAAUAGGUGAUGCAGAGAUCUUGUUAUGUCUCAGGAAAAAAACCUGGAUAAGACUGGUCAAGCUUCAAUUAGCACCUCAUGUUCGUGCCUGCUGGCAUCUGGCUCUGGGCCCUAGGUCCUGGGCCAUGGGCCCCCCAGCCCCUGAGGUAACCGGGGCCAGAGCAGAUGGAGGGACAACACACUGACGACACUACAGCCGGGAGACACUAACAGUCUCUCACAAGGCCACCUCAAUGCUCAGUAAAUGUGUGAACGGACACAUACUGUAUACACUGCCCUACCAAGCAAAACGGCAGUAACUGCUCAUUUGGUCGAAAAUGAGUUAGUCAUUUUUGCUACAUUAAAUACAUGCUUAAUCAUGUGGACAAGUAUCCUGCCUCUACUGUAUUGUGUUUUGGAGAAAAUGGGAGUCAUAUUAGCAGUAAGAGCACUAGGUUACUGUGAAACAAAGGUAAAUAAAAGCUACUUUUCUCA
This is a non-coding RNA of Oncorhynchus mykiss (rainbow trout), 1393 nucleotides long. Lineage: Eukaryota; Metazoa; Chordata; Actinopteri; Salmoniformes; Salmonidae. The record is from RefSeq and is a predicted model, not a curated record.